UAUCAGCUGCGACUAACUCAGCUGUCAAAUGACAGUAAAAUUGAUAAGGGUUAACUAAUACUCUUGCUGUAACGUACAAUGGGAUUAAAUAACAUCCAGUGAACAGAGGCACUGGGUGAAAGGAGAAUCAGCUGCGCAGACAUCUGACUAUUUACGGUGAACAUUCCCAAAGAUUAAAAGUUGUGGGAACAGCCUCCUCUAAUUGACCGAGCAUUUCAUUGAGGACUGCUGAAGAUGCUCUAUCUGAAGGAGAUGGGGGCUGAGGAGAUUGGGAGACCCCAAAAGAUCCGACACUGCUAUUGAUGAUGGAGCGAGCUGCCUGAAGGUGUCUUCUUUGGCUCUGGCGCACUGUAAAACAACGAGCGAUAUCUUCUGGACCUCAGGAAUGAGGAACCUGUAGACAAGCUCUGCCACAAUCUCUUCAGACUGUUGACUGUUUCGUCUGUACAUAUGCAAACACAAAACAGGACAAAACACCCAACAGAUUAGACAAGAAUCAUUUUGCUUAUUUUUUUUAAAUUAUCAAUAAGUUAAAUAAUAAAUUUUAAAUAAUUCUCAAAUUUAAAAAAAAAUCUUUAUAAAAAACUUACUAACAAAUAUAGGGUAACACUUUAUUUUAAGGAUCAGAAAUUAGUUAGUAAUUAAUGACUAAUAAGUGUAUGUGUAACUGACUAGUUAAUGACCUGUAAGCAGUUACAAGCUAUUUAUAAACCAUUUAUUGGUUGUUGUCUUGAUUUUGUCCUAACAAUAAACUUAUUAACUAAAAACAAAAGAUACAAAUAGCUUGUAUUGUGUAAAAUACACCUAGUACACUGUUUGAGUUUGUAGCUUAUAAGUGUGAAAUAAAUAUAGAACGGGCAUUACAAAACAAACAUUUAAAUGAACAGAAAAAGUACUUUCAUCUUCAUCAGAACAAAGAAAUUUAUACAGGUUUGUAACAACAUGAGAGUGAGAAAAUAAUGACAGAAUUUUAUUUUUUUGUGAACUAUCCCAAAAAUGUUAUUGUUGUAGAAAUUAUAUUACUGGAUGUUUAAACUUGUUCUUGUUUUUAUAUUGUAAAUGUUGAUAAAGAGGUGGUCACUGACUUUUUGAGCGGUGCUUAUAUUAAAGGAGCUGAAGGAGUCCUUUUAUAUGUAAGA
Molecule: long non-coding RNA, 1139 nt
Organism: Paramisgurnus dabryanus
Lineage: Eukaryota; Metazoa; Chordata; Actinopteri; Cypriniformes; Cobitidae
Source: RefSeq, a predicted model, not a curated record